UCUCCAAUGGCUCAGUAGAGCCUGAGGCUCUUAAUCUCAGGGUUGUGGGUUCAAGUGCCACGUUGGGUGAA
Molecule: non-coding RNA, 71 nt
Organism: Podarcis lilfordi (Lilford's wall lizard)
Lineage: Eukaryota; Metazoa; Chordata; Lepidosauria; Squamata; Lacertidae
Source: the annotation of a GenBank genome assembly